AGUCUUAUAUUCAAUGAUGAUAUAAAAUUGCAAAUUUUAAGGGGUAUAAAUAAAAUACUAAGGCUU
This 66-nucleotide transfer RNA is filed under the name Graphium eurous. Its description in RNAcentral is "tRNA-Cys". The record is from RNAcentral. Lineage: Eukaryota; Metazoa; Arthropoda; Insecta; Lepidoptera; Papilionidae.